GAGGGUGCGAGCGUUACCCGGAUUUACCUGGGCGUAAAGGGCGUGUANGCGGUCUUUCAAGUCCGAUGCUAAAGACUGGGGCUCAACCCCAGGGGUGCGUUGGAUACUGUGAGGCUAGACGGUCGGAGGGGGUAGCGGAAUUUCCGGAGUAGCGGUGAAAUGCGCAGAUACCGGAAGGAACGCCAAUAGCGAAGGCAGCUACCUGGACGACUUGUGACGCUGAGGCGCGAAAGCGUGGGGAGCAAACCGGAUUAGAUACCCGGGUAGUCCACGCCCUAAACCAUGAGUGCUGGGUGUCCGGCUUCUGCUGGGUGCCGUAGCUAACGCGCUAAGCACUCCGCCUGGGAAGUACGCACGCAAGUGUGAAACUCAAAGGAAUUGACGGGGGCCCGCACAAGCGGUGGAGCAUGUGGUUUAAUUCGAAGCGACGCGAAGAACCUUACCAGGCCUUGACAUGCCCGGAACCCCUCUGAAAGGAGGGGGUGCCCGCAAGGGAGCCGGGACACAGGUGCUGCAUGGCCGUCGUCAGCUCGUGUCGUGAGAUGUUGGGUUAAGUCCCGCAACGAGCGCAACCCCUAUCCCUAGUUGCCAGCAGUUCGGCUGGGCACUCUAUGGAGACUGCCUGCGAAAGCAGGAGGAAGGCGGGGAUGACGUCUGGUCCGCAUGGCCCUUACGGCCUGGGCGACACACGUGCUACAAUGCCAAGGACAGAGCGCUGCUACCUCGCGAGAGGACGCCAAUCGCAAAAACCUUGGCUCAGUUCGGAUUGGAGUCUGCAACUCGACUCCAUGAAGCCGGAAUCGCUAGUAAUCGCGAAUCAG
This 821-nucleotide ribosomal RNA is filed under the name uncultured Thermaceae bacterium. Its description in RNAcentral is "bacterial SSU rRNA". It matches the Rfam family "Bacterial small subunit ribosomal RNA", at positions 528 to 1352 of the family's 1533-position model. The record is from RNAcentral. Lineage: Bacteria; Thermotogati; Deinococcota; Deinococci; Thermales; Thermaceae.